AAUUUCAAAAAUAUAUUAUUAUUAUUUUUUCAAUAUAUCUCUCAUAUAUUUUUUUAUUAUUUUAAAAUAUUUCUACAGUUAACACCCGUCAAGUUAAUUUAGAUUAAAUCUGAGUUAAAUAUUUACUACAAUUAAAAAAAAUUAAAAUAUUAUUUUUAUUCUUAAUUUAAGGGCAAAUAAAAAAUGUUGGUGAUAAUCAUUUUUUGUGCUCGUAACUUAAGAACCAAUAAAAAAAAUUGGUGAUGAUAGAAAGGUAUAUUUUAAAAAAGCAAAAUAGUAAUUUUAUUGAGAUAACAGAGUUCAUUAACAUAUUUUAAUUCUAGAAAUAUAUUUGAAAUAGGUUGGAACGUAAAAAAUGUAUUUUUAAUAUUAGCCUUCUA
RNAcentral lists this long non-coding RNA (380 nucleotides) under Ananas comosus (pineapple). RNAcentral's name for it is "long non-coding RNA (ACOM_LNC040651)". Lineage: Eukaryota; Viridiplantae; Streptophyta; Magnoliopsida; Poales; Bromeliaceae. The record is from RNAcentral.